RNAcentral lists this unclassified non-coding RNA (1637 nucleotides) under Penaeus chinensis. Its description in RNAcentral is "protein tramtrack, beta isoform-like, transcript variant X12". The record is from RNAcentral. Lineage: Eukaryota; Metazoa; Arthropoda; Malacostraca; Decapoda; Penaeidae.
GCGUUGGCAACACGGUCAGAGAAUGUUGUGGUUCUGUCAAAAAAAAAAAAGAAAGUAAAUAACAAAGCUCUACUCUUUUUCUUCAGAAUUUUCAGGGAUAUAGGCCAGUGUCUGGGAGACGUUAGCAGCAGAUAUAUUUAGCCAAGAUGGGUGAUGGAAUGCUAUCCCUGUCUUGGAACAAUCACCAUGCUACUUUCUGUGAUAUAUUAAGUAAAUUAAGAGAAAAGGAAAGCUACACAGAUGUAACACUGUCCUGUGAAGGAAAUUUUUAUCCAUUGCAUAAAUUAGUCUUGUCAACGUGUAGUGAAUAUUUUGAGAAAAUAUUUGAAAGAACACCAUGUAAACAUCCAGUGAUUGUGCUAAAUGACAUUAAGUGCAGAGAACUUGAGGCACUGUUGAGCUAUAUGUAUGCUGGGGAAGUGAGUGUGCCACAGAGCAACCUAGCUAUGCUUAUAAAAGUGGCAGAAGUCCUGCAGAUCAAGGGCCUGGCAGUGCCUGACACGCCCCCAGCUCCUGCCAAAUCUAAGACAAGUUCUCUCGAGUCUGGGACCGAGAGAAGCAGCCCACACCCUCCUAAAAGACGCAGGACGGAGGAAAGACUCGUAGACACCACCAGAACGAUGCACGAAUCCACAAGUCCCAACGUCAGAUUGAACCCCACCGAGAAAGGGAGACAAGUGACUCAUGAAGAGGGACACCCCAGGAAAGGCCAGGAAGAAGCUCAAGACCCUCUUUCUGUGUCUGAGAUUGGGCGGGAAGAUUACUAUGCUGCGGAAAUUAAAGAGGAGAUUAUCGAGGAUGUGGUUGACACUGAAGACACUCAGAUAGGAAGGACAGAUCACAGCAUAGAAUACGAUGCUCAACUUGCCCCUUUCAAAAGUGAGGGCAGUAGUAGAGACAGCAUAUCAGGACACACAGGCUCAGCAGAAUACAGUGAUCCACAUUUUGAACACCUCAACACCUCUGGACUGCAGACAAAUGAAAUGAACCCAGGACCCUCGGAGAUGAUUGAGUGGCAUGACGGCAUAGUAGAAUCGGACAUGACUUCCGGAGAAGGCUGUAGUGGAGUGGGCAUCCUUCAGCCAUCGUCACCCAUGUUAGGCCAGCAAACACCACAGCUUCUAGCACAGCAAGGGAUGGUAGCACUUGAGGGCUCAUCGGCAGCAGCGGCGAUGGUCAGAGUCCGUGGAGGCUACACACGCUGGACGCCCGAGGAACGGCUCCUGAUUGCCAAGGCAUGCAUAAGGAUGGGGCCCAAUAAGGCUGCCAGGGAGCUCUCCAGGACCCUCAACAAGAAGCUGAGCAAGUCCACUGUCCAAAAUAUCCACAAGCAGUACCUGGAAAGGGUGGCAAAGCGGCAGCUGGUCAAUGCACCAUUGAGUCUCCCUCAGGGGAGGCAAGGACAAUGAGAGGAGGAUACCCAGCAGUCUACUGGAUGGUUCAGUUCUUGUUUGUCGCUGUCAUCGGAGGCCAGCGCUGCAUUGUUUCUUCUGUUCUUUUGAAAAUAAAGAUGGAAGCAAGUGAACAUACAGCGCUGGCCAAGUGCCGGGGUGUUUACAACCGUUGGACGCCUGAGGAACGCCUUCAGAUUGGCAGGGCUUGUACAGAGAUGGGAGCCGCUAAGGCUGCACGGGAGC